RNAcentral lists this ribosomal RNA (220 nucleotides) under uncultured bacterium. RNAcentral describes it as "partial 16S ribosomal RNA". It matches the Rfam family "Bacterial small subunit ribosomal RNA", at positions 524 to 742 of the family's 1533-position model. The record is from RNAcentral.
UACGUAGGGUGCGAGCGUUGUCCGGAAUUAUUGGGCGUAAAGAGCUUGUAGGCGGUCUGUCGCGUCUGCUGUGAAAAUCCGGGGCUCAACCCCGGACUUGCAGUGGGUACGGGCAGACUAGAGUGUGGUAGGGGGAGACUGGAAUUCCUGGUGUAGCGGUGAAAUGCGCAGAUAUCAGGAGGAACACCGAUGGCGAAGGCAGGUCUCUGGGCCAUUACUG